This 192-nucleotide ribosomal RNA is filed under the name Bacillus sp. enrichment culture clone L10. Its description in RNAcentral is "partial 16S ribosomal RNA". It matches the Rfam family "Bacterial small subunit ribosomal RNA", at positions 340 to 524 of the family's 1533-position model. The record is from RNAcentral. Lineage: Bacteria; Bacillati; Bacillota; Bacilli; Caryophanales; Bacillaceae.
UACGGGAGGCAGCAGUAGGGAAUCUUCCGCAAUGGACGAAAGUCUGACGGAGCAACGCCGCGUGAGUGAUGAAGGUUUUCGGAUCGUAAAGCUCUGUUGUUAGGGAAGAACAAGUGCAAGAGUAACUGCUUGCACCUUGACGGUACCUAACCAGAAAGCCACGGCUAACUACGUGCCAGCAGCCGCGGUAAU